GCGGCCGGCUUAACACAUGCAAGUCGAGCGGGGUGAUAGUGCUUGCACUAUCACCUAGCGGCGGACGGGUGAGUAAUGCUUAGGAAUCUGCCUAUUAGUGGGGGACAACAUUUCGAAAGGAAUGCUAAUACCGCAUACGUCCUACGGGAGAAAGCAGGGGAUCUUCGGACCUUGCGCUAAUAGAUGAGCUUAAGUCGGAUUAGCUAGUUGGUGGGGUAAAGGCCUACCAAGGCGACGAUCUGUAGCGGGUCUGAGAGGAUGAUCCGCCACACUGGGACUGAGACACGGCCCAGACUCCUACGGGAGGCAGCAGUGGGGAAUAUUGGACAAUGGGCGCAAGCCUGAUCCAGCCAUGCCGCGUGUGUGAAGAAGGCCUUAUGGUUGUAAAGCACUUUAAGCGAGGAGGAGGCUACUUUAGAUAAUACCUAGAGAUAGUGGACGUUACUCGCAGAAUAAGCACCGGCUAACUCUGUGCCAGCAGCCGCGGUAAUACAGAGGGUGCAAGCGUUAAUCGGAUUUACUGGGCGUAAAGCGCGCGUAGGCGGCUAAUUAAGUCAAAUGUGAAAUCCCCGAGCUUAACUUGGGAAUUGCAUUCGAUACUGGUUAGCUAGAGUGUGGGAGAGGAUGGUAGAAUUCCAGGUGUAGCGGUGAAAUGCGUAGAGAUCUGGAGGAAUACCGAUGGCGAAGGCAGCCAUCUGGCCUAACACUGACGCUGAGGUGCGAAAGCAUGGGGAGCAAACAGGAUUAGAUACCCUGGUAGUCCAUGCCGUAAACGAUGUCUACUAGCCGUUGGGGCCUUUG
This 801-nucleotide ribosomal RNA is filed under the name uncultured bacterium. RNAcentral's name for it is "bacterial SSU rRNA". It matches the Rfam family "Bacterial small subunit ribosomal RNA", at positions 39 to 834 of the family's 1533-position model. The record is from RNAcentral.